Long non-coding RNA from Gallus gallus (chicken), 619 nucleotides. The record is from Ensembl. Lineage: Eukaryota; Metazoa; Chordata; Aves; Galliformes; Phasianidae.
CAGCUCUGGAAGAAGAGCACAGCACCCUCCUGCUCCACGUGCACGUACCCUUUGUAUGCAGUAUCUCACGUUAAUAGCACUGCCUUUGGAGAUGCCUGCUUUCUUCGUAAAGCUCUCCUGGAAGAGAUGCAGAAACAGUUACAGGCUCCUGCCUUGACUGUGUGCAGACAGGCUGCUUCCUGUCCCAACCGGCAGCUCUUCCAAGCUGGUUCUGUUGCAAAGCAGUCACCAGGAUUGCCCCCUUCUUUGCUCUGCUCGCUUCUAAAGGAAUUUAUUUGUUCAUCGGUUUUGACUCAGUGGCAGAAAUUGAGCUGUAUCUCCUCUGCCCUGAAAUCAUCAAAGUAUAUGGCAGCUAAAGUUGACGGGAGCACGUUUAACAAAGCAUUGUUGAGGGGAAGAGUGCCAGGAACAUAUUGUAUGUUUCCAAACAGAGCUAAUGCUGCUCCUAACGCAGUAAAAGAAAAGAGGAUUGCUCCUCGAGUUUGGUGAUUGUGCAGACUAUUUAUGUUUGUUUGUACUGUGACAGAACUUUGAAUGCAUCAGACUUGAGAUGGCCCAGCUGGAAAAUUUGGCUCAGUGGGUGGAUCAGAGCAGGGAACUGUAGAAGCAUGGAAAAAAC